Molecule: ribosomal RNA, 402 nt
Filed under: uncultured bacterium
Lineage: Bacteria
Description: bacterial SSU rRNA
Rfam family: Bacterial small subunit ribosomal RNA
Source: RNAcentral
UGGGGAAUAUUGCACAAUGGGGGAAACCCUGAUGCAGCAACGCCGCGUGAGUGAUGACGGCCUUCGGGUUGUAAAGCUCUGUCUUCAGGGACGAUAAUGACGGUACCUGAGGAGGAAGCCACGGCUAACUACGUGCCAGCAGCCGCGGUAAUACGUAGGUGGCAAGCGUUGUCCGGAUUUACUGGGCGUAAAGGGAGCGUAGGCGGACUUUUAAGUGAGAUGUGAAAUACCCGGGCUCAACCUGGGUGCUGCAUUUCAAACUGGAAGUCUAGAGUGCAGGAGAGGAGAGUGGAAUUCCAAGUGUAGCGGUGAAAUGCGUAGAGAUUAGGAAGAACACCAGUGGCGAAGGCGACUCUCUGGACUGUAACUGACGCUGAGGCUCGAAAGCGUGGGGAGCAAACA